RNAcentral lists this ribosomal RNA (440 nucleotides) under uncultured bacterium. RNAcentral's name for it is "partial 16S ribosomal RNA". It matches the Rfam family "Bacterial small subunit ribosomal RNA", at positions 338 to 795 of the family's 1533-position model. The record is from RNAcentral.
CCUACGGUGUGCAGCAGUGGGGAAUAUUGCACAAUGGGGGAAACCCUGAUGCCGCGACGCCGCGUGUGUGAAGAAGUAUUUCGGUAUGUAAAGCUCUGUCAGCAGGGAAGAAAAUGACGGUACCUGACCAAGAAGCCUCGGCUAACUACGUGCCAGCAGCCGCGGUAAUACGUAGGGGGCAAGCGUUAUCCGGAUUUACUGGGUGGAAAGGGAGCGUAGACGGCAGGGCAAGUCUGGAGUGAAAGGCGGGGGCUCAACCCCCGGACUGCUCUGGAAACUGCCAGGCUGGAGUGCAGGAGAGGUAAGUGGAAUGCCUAGUGUAGCGGUGAAAUGCGUAGAUAUUAGGAGGAACACCAGUGGCGAAGGCGGCUUACUGGACUGUAACUGACGUUGAGGCUCGAAAGCGUGGGGAGCAAACAGGAUUAGAUACCCCUGUAGUC